CUGGGAAGUGAUGUCCGCUUCCUGCCCUCCCUGCGUGUCUGAGGGCGUAGAGGAAGCCCGUAAACAAACUACAAGUCCCAGAAGGCGGUGCGUCCGGAGUCUGGAGUAGGCUGGGGCCGAGCCGCCGGGCUCGCGGAGGCGGCGGCGGCUGCUGCUAAGGCUGAAGGAGCCGGGCCGGGCCCGCGGCAGAGGCCGUGGCUGGAACUGGGAAGGUGGCGGGGACGGACGCGGGGGUAAGAUGGCGACGUCAGGGGCGAACGGGCCGGGUUCCGCCACAGCCUCAGCGUCCAAUCCACGCAAGUUUAGUGAGAAGAUUGCGCUGCAGAAGCAGCGUCAGGCCGAGGAGACGGCGGCCUUCGAGGAGGUGAUGAUGGACAUCGGCUCCACACGGUUACAGGCCCAAAAACUGCGACUGGCUUAUACAAGGAGCUCCCAUUAUGGUGGUUCUCUGCCCAAUGUUAACCAGAUUGGCUGUGGCCUGGCUGAGUUCCAGAGCCCCCUUCACUCACCUUUGGAUUCAUCUCGGAGCACUCGGCACCAUGGGUUGGUGGAACGGGUACAACGAGAUGCCCGCAGAAUGGUGUCCCCACUCCGCCGAUACCCCCGCCACAUUGACAGUUCUCCAUAUAGCCCUGCCUAUUUAUCUCCUCCCCCAGAGUCUGGCUGGCGAAGGAUGAUGCCCUGGGGCAACCUCCCAGCUGAGAAGGGGCAGUUGUUUAGACUGCCGUCUGCACUUAACAGGACAAGCUCUGACUCUGCUCUUCACACAAGUGUGAUGAACCCUAACCCCCAAGACACUUAUCCAGGCCCCACACCUCCCAGUGUCCUGCCCAGCCGCCGAGGAGGAGGUUUUCUGGAUGGUGAGAUGGAUGCUAAAGUCCCUGCUAUUGAGGAGAACGUGGUAGAUGACAAGCAUCUGCUGAAACCUUGGGAUGCUAAGAAGCUGUCCUCAUCUUCCUCUCGACCUCGAUCCUGUGAAGUCCCUGGAAUCAACAUCUUUCCAUCUCCUGACCAGCCUGCUAAUGUGCCUGUCCUCCCACCUGCCAUGAACACAGGAGGCUCCCUACCUGACCUCACCAACCUACACUUCCCUCCUCCACUGCCCACACCCCUGGACCCUGAGGAGACAGUCUAUCCCAGCCUGAGUGGGGGCAACAGUACCACCAAUUUGACCCAUACUAUGACCCAUUUGGGCAUCAGUGGAGGUCUGGGCUUGGGCCCCAGCUAUGAUGUACCAGGACUUCACUCACCUCUUAGCCACCCAUCCCUGCAGUCCUCCCUAAGCAAUCCCAACCUCCAGGCUUCCCUAAGUAGUCCUCAACCCCAGCUCCAGGGCUCCCAUAGUCACCCAUCACUGCCUGCCUCCUCCUUGGCCCACCAUGCACUGCCCACCACCUCCCUGGGCCACCCGUCACUUAGUGCCCCAGCCCUUUCCUCCUCCUCUUCCUCUUCGUCCACUUCAUCUCCUGUCCUGAGUGCUCCCCCUUACCCAGCUUCUACUCCUGGGGCCUCUCCCCGCCACCGUCGUGUGCCCCUCAGCCCCCUGAGCUUGCCCGCGGGCCCAGCCGACGCCAGAAGGUCCCAACAGCAGCUGCCCAAACAGUUUUCGCCAACAAUGUCACCCACCUUGUCUUCCAUCACUCAGGGCGUUCCCUUGGAUACCAGUAAAUUGCCUACUGACCAGCGAUUGCCCCCAUACCCAUAUAGCCCCCCAAGUCUAGUUAUACCCACCCAUCCACCCACCCCAAAGUCUCUACAGCAGUUGCCCUCUCAGGCCUGCUUAGUGCAGCCCUCAGGUGGACAGCCUCCAGGCAGGCAGCCACAUUAUGGGGCACUGUACCCACCUGGGUCCAGUGGACAUGGGCAACAGCCUUACCACCGCCCAAUAAAUGACUUCAGCUUGGGGAAUGUAACAUAGCAAUGCCAGCUUGGGGCUCCUGUCUUCCUGUGUUUGACCCCUACUCCUGCCCCUCUGUUUCUGCUCAGCUUGCUCUUUGAUGACUCCUGCCUUGACCCGUUCUCUUCCUGGCAUGCACAUGCUCUGGCCCAGCAGCUGGAGCAAUUCAACAUGGAGAGCCCAUCAACCAGCCUGGUGCUGGAUCCCCCUGCCUUUUCUGAAGGUCCUGGAUUUUUAGGGAGUGAGGGAUCAAUGAGUGGCCCCCAGGACCCUCACGUCCUCAACCACCAGAACUUGACCCACUGUUCCCGCCAUGGCUCAGGACCUAAUAUCAUACUCACAGGAGACUCUUCCCCAGGUUUCUCUAAGGAGAUUGCAGCAGCCCUGGCUGGAGUGCCUGGCUUUGAGGUGUCAGCAUCUGGGUUGGAGCUGGGCCUGGGGCUAGAAGAUGAGCUGCGCAUGGAGCCACUGGGCCUGGAAGGACUAACUAUGCUGAGUGACCCCUGUGCCCUGCUGCCUGACCCUGCUGUGGAGGACUCAUUCCGUAGUGAUCGGCUACAGUGAGGGGACCUCACUGCCAUCCUUCUUCAUGGCCCUGUCCCAUCAGUCUUCAUCCCUUCCCCCUGGCCAGUAGAGACUACUCUCUGCCCCCAGAUCCUUUUUCUAAUAUGAAUGAAGGAUCCUAAAACUGAGGAAAGGGAAGGGGCUUGGCCAGGUGGCCCCUGAAUGCUGUAUGUCUGGUGGGCUUGGGGGAAUUCAAGGGAGGGCCUAAAAGCACUUGUAACUUUGAAAACCGUCUGUCUGGAGGUCAGAGCCUGUUGGGAAGCAAGGUGUAGAGGGAAAUCUUGGAGAGAGGGCUUGUCCAGAAGGGAUGGGCACUACCAGCCCCUCCCUAUUUCUCUUCCCCUUGCAAUGGAAGAGAGAGCCAGAAUGGAUAUUAUUUUUUAUUAAAUAUAUUAUAUGUUAAUAAAAAAUCCUAUUAAACCUUU
This is an RNA transcript of Mus musculus (house mouse), 2886 nucleotides long. It is a transcript of the gene named CREB regulated transcription coactivator 2, with no coding region annotated. The record is from RefSeq and is marked validated. NCBI's taxonomy places the organism in Eukaryota, Metazoa, Chordata, Mammalia, Rodentia, Muridae. The transcript has 15 exons.